Alligator sinensis (Chinese alligator) is the source of this 351-nucleotide long non-coding RNA. RefSeq lists it as uncharacterized. The transcript has 4 exons. Lineage: Eukaryota; Metazoa; Chordata; Crocodylia; Alligatoridae. The record is from RefSeq and is a predicted model, not a curated record.
GAGAAGUGUAAAGUGCUGCUUGAGUUCAUUCCACCUUCUUGCUGUCUCAAUGACCCGGUCUCUAAUUCUUGGUUAUGGGGAAUCCUGAUUUUAUUGCUCGGCCCAGCAAUCUGAAAGCACAGAAAAGUAUGAAGCAUUGUCACUAGGGGGAAAACAGGGUGCAGUUAAUGCUUGAUGAUACGAGGCUGGUGAUACGAGUUACAAGUCCCUAGCAUGCAAUUUCUCUUUUUUCAGGCUACCACAACCGUAAGUUACAGACAAAUGAAAACUUGAUGAAGGAUCUAUGACAGUACCCAUUCCACUCCCCUCCACUGACCUCCAUCUAUCAUGAAUGCAACUGGUCUGUAUCAU